RNAcentral lists this ribosomal RNA (462 nucleotides) under uncultured bacterium. Its description in RNAcentral is "SSU rRNA". It matches the Rfam family "Bacterial small subunit ribosomal RNA", at positions 26 to 518 of the family's 1533-position model. The record is from RNAcentral.
AGAAUCAACGCUGGCGGCGCGCCUAACACAUGCAAGUCGAACGAGAAAGUGGAGCAAUCCAUGAGUAAAGUGGCGUACGGGUGAGUAACACGUGGGUAAUCUACCUUUUAGUGAGGAAUAACUUUGGGAAACCGAAGCUAAUACCGCAUAAUCCUGAGAAGGGAAAGCAGCAAUGCGCUGAAAGAGGAGCCCGCGGCCGAUUAGCUAGUUGGUGAGGUAAUGGCUCACCAAGGCUCAGAUCGGUAGCCGGCCUGAGAGGGCACGACGGCCGACACUGGCACUGAAACACGGGCCAGACUCCUACGGGAGGCAGCAGUGGGGAAUCUUGCACAAUGGGGGAAACCCUGAUGCAGCGACGCCGCGUGAGCGAUGAAGCCCUUCGGGGUGUAAAGCUCUUUCGGCAGGGAAGAUUAUGACGGUACCUGCAGAAGCAGCUGCGGCUAACUACGUGCCAGCAGCCGC